AUUGAACGCUGGCGGAAUGCUUAACACAUGCAAGUCGAGCGGGGUGUAGCAAUACACCUAGCGGCGGACGGGUGAGGAAUACAUAGGAAUCUGCCUCAGAGUGGGGGAUAGCCCGGGGAAACCCGGAUUAAUACCGCAUGAUGUCGUAAGACCAAAGCAGGGGACCGUAAGGCCUUGCACUUUGAGAUGAGCCUAUGUCGGAUUAGCUAGUUGGCGGGGUAAAAGCCCACCAAGGCGACGAUCCGUAGCUGGUCUGAGAGGACGAUCAGCCACACCG
This 277-nucleotide ribosomal RNA is filed under the name uncultured bacterium. RNAcentral's name for it is "partial 16S ribosomal RNA". It matches the Rfam family "Bacterial small subunit ribosomal RNA", at positions 30 to 315 of the family's 1533-position model. The record is from RNAcentral.